CCUACGGGAGGCAGCAGUGAGGAAUCUUGGACAAUGGGGGCAACCCUGAUCCAGCCAUGCCGCGUGAACGAUGAAGGCCUUAGGGUCGUAAAGCACUUUCAGCAAGGAGGAAGGCAGUACGGUUAAUACCCGUGCUGAUUGACGUUACUUGCAGAAGAAGCACCGGCUAACUC
This 173-nucleotide ribosomal RNA is filed under the name uncultured bacterium Dw-16. RNAcentral describes it as "partial 16S ribosomal RNA". It matches the Rfam family "Bacterial small subunit ribosomal RNA", at positions 338 to 503 of the family's 1533-position model. The record is from RNAcentral.